CAGGCAUUGGAUGUCGAAUGGAUUCUUCCACUGAUCAAAAUCCAAUAUGGCGGACUCAAUGUCUACAGACUCCAGAUGGAAAAAGACAGAGAAAGAAAUUCUAAAGGGGUAUUCAAGGACCCAUCCUCCUCCACACUAAUUCAUAUUGGAAGGAAUUAACAUCCAACUUGAAUGAACAAUUACAGACUUCCAGAACAGACCCUUUAAAAAAAGAAGCCAGAUCUUCAGAAGACUUCCUUGAAAAUGAGAAUAUUUUGAGUGGAAGUGAAGAAUAUGAGAUGCAUACAAGCAGACAUCAGCAUUCCCUCCCUCUUGUUUGUGUAAGUAAAACCUUCAUGAAUAUAAAACUUUAGAUGAAAAGGGAAAUAUAUUGACAUUCAAAAUUCACAGUUGGUUGUUCAUCUUCUGCAAAAAUUACAGACUUGUUUCAUUAUUUAUCUAUGAUAAAAUACAUGUCACGACAUGAUUAAUAUUUAUGAUAUAUGUGCAUUGUGUAUUUACUACUAUUCCUGAUCCAUAUCAAUGCAAAUCUUUACUGAUUAUACUGAUGUUUUGUGAUAUUGUUUUUAAUUUUUAGAUCAGAGGUGAGCUUUUUGAGAAA
Long non-coding RNA from Ostrea edulis (European flat oyster), 601 nucleotides. RefSeq lists it as uncharacterized. The record is from RefSeq and is a predicted model, not a curated record. The transcript has 3 exons. Lineage: Eukaryota; Metazoa; Mollusca; Bivalvia; Ostreida; Ostreidae.